This 448-nucleotide ribosomal RNA is filed under the name uncultured Entrophospora. RNAcentral describes it as "SSU rRNA". It matches the Rfam family "Eukaryotic small subunit ribosomal RNA", at positions 569 to 1014 of the family's 1831-position model. Lineage: Eukaryota; Fungi; Glomeromycota; Glomeromycetes; Entrophosporales; Entrophosporaceae. The record is from RNAcentral.
AGCAGCCGCGGUAAUUCCAGCUCCAAUAGCGUAUAUUAAAGUUGUUGCAGUUAAAAAGCUCGUAGUUGAAUUUCGGGAUUGACGUGAUGGUCAUGCCUUAAGGGGUAUGAACUGUUACAGUUGAUUUCUCACCUUCUGGAGAAACUUGAUGUCCUUUAUUGGGUGUCUUGCGGAUCCAGGACCUUUACCUUGAAAAAUUAGAGUGUUUAAAGCAGGCAUUUUUGCUCGAAUACAUUAGCAUGGAAUAAUAGAAUAGGACGGCAUGGUUCUAUUUUGUUGGUUUCUAGGAUCACCGUAAUGAUUAAUAGGGAUAGUUGGGGGCAUUAGUAUUCAAUUGUCAGAGGUGAAAUUCUUGGAUUUAUUGAAGACUAACUACUGCGAAAGCAUUUGCCAAGGAUGUUUUACAUUAAUCAAGAACGAAAGUUAGGGGAUCGAAGACGAUCAGAUA